UCAACCUAUUUAACCUUCUAACCCAUCAAAUUAAAUGAGUUGAUGGGUUGACUCAACUCAUUUAGUAAAAUGAGUUGAGUCAACCCAUCAACUCAUUUAACUCUAAACUCAUUGGGUAAUUAGU
RNAcentral lists this microRNA precursor (124 nucleotides) under Arabidopsis thaliana x Arabidopsis arenosa. RNAcentral describes it as "MIR405". It matches the Rfam family "MIR405 microRNA precursor family". Lineage: Eukaryota; Viridiplantae; Streptophyta; Magnoliopsida; Brassicales; Brassicaceae. The record is from RNAcentral.